RNAcentral lists this ribosomal RNA (497 nucleotides) under uncultured bacterium. RNAcentral describes it as "partial 16S ribosomal RNA". It matches the Rfam family "Bacterial small subunit ribosomal RNA", at positions 28 to 507 of the family's 1533-position model. The record is from RNAcentral.
GAUGAACGCUGGCGGCGUGCCUAAUACAUGCAAGUCGAGCGAACAGACGAGGAGCUUGCUCCUCUGACGUUAGCGGCGGACGGGUGAGUAACACGUGGAUAACCUACCUAUAAGACUGGGAUAACUUCGGGAAACCGGAGCUAAUACCGGAUAAUAUAUUGAACCGCAUGGUUCAAUAGUGAAAGACGGUUUUGCUGUCACUUAUAGAUGGAUCCGCGCCGCAUUAGCUAGUUGGUAAGGUAACGGCUUACCAAGGCAACGAUGCGUAGCCGACCUGAGAGGGUGAUCGGCCACACUGGAACUGAGACACGGUCCAGACUCCUACGGGAGGCAGCAGUAGGGAAUCUUCCGCAAUGGGCGAAAGCCUGACGGAGCAACACCGCGUGAGUGAUGAAGGUCUUCGGAUCGUAGAACUCUGUUAUUAGGGAAGAACAAAUGUGUAAGUAACUAUGCACGUCUUGACGGUACCUAAUCAGAAAGCCACGGCUAACUACGUG